RNAcentral lists this ribosomal RNA (253 nucleotides) under uncultured bacterium. RNAcentral describes it as "partial 16S ribosomal RNA". It matches the Rfam family "Bacterial small subunit ribosomal RNA", at positions 524 to 776 of the family's 1533-position model. The record is from RNAcentral.
UACGUAGGGGGCAAGCGUUGUCCGGAAUCCUUGGGCGUAAAGCGCGUGUAGGCGGCCCGGUAAGUCCGCUGUGAAAGUCGGGGGCUCAACCCUCGAAUGCCGGUGGAUACUGUCGGGCUAGAGUGCGGAAGAGGCGAGUGGAAUUCCUGGUGUAGCGGUGAAAUGCGCAGAUAUCAGGAGGAACACCAAUUGCGAAGGCAGCUCGCUGGGACGUGACUGACGCUGAGACGCGAAAGCGUGGGGAGCAAACAGG